RNAcentral lists this ribosomal RNA (588 nucleotides) under Shewanella sp. 6JANF4-E-4. RNAcentral's name for it is "bacterial SSU rRNA". It matches the Rfam family "Bacterial small subunit ribosomal RNA", at positions 337 to 917 of the family's 1533-position model. Lineage: Bacteria; Pseudomonadati; Pseudomonadota; Gammaproteobacteria; Alteromonadales; Shewanellaceae. The record is from RNAcentral.
UCCUACGGGAGGCAGCAGUGGGGAAUAUUGCACAAUGGGCGAAAGCCUGAUGCAGCCAUGCCGCGUGUGUGAAGAAGGCCUUCGGGUUGUAAAGCACUUUCAGCGAGGAGGAAAGGUUACUGGCUAAUAUCCAGUAGCUGUGACGUUACUCGCAGAAGAAGCACCGGCUAACUUCGUGCCAGCAGCCGCGGUAAUACGAGGGGUGCAAGCGUUAAUCGGAAUUACUGGGCGUAAAGCGUACGCAGGCGGUUUGUUAAGCGAGAUGUGAAAGCCCCGGGCUCAACCUGGGAACUGCAUUUCGAACUGGCAAACUAGAGUCUUGUAGAGGGGGGUAGAAUUUCAGGUGUAGCGGUGAAAUGCGUAGAGAUCUGAAGGAAUACCGGUGGCGAAGGCGGCCCCCUGGACAAAGACUGACGCUCAGGUACGAAAGCGUGGGGAGCAAACAGGAUUAGAUACCCUGGUAGUCCACGCCGUAAACGAUGUCUACUCGGAGUUUGGUGUCUUGAACACUGGGCUCUCAAGCUAACGCAUUAAGUAGACCGCCUGGGGAGUACGGCCGCAAGGUUAAAACUCAAAUGAAUUGACGGA